GAUGUGGCGCAAUGGUAGUGCGAGUGCCUGCGACGCAGAUGGUUCCGGGUUCGAUACCCGGUAGGUCA
Phthorimaea operculella (potato tuberworm) is the source of this 68-nucleotide non-coding RNA. The record is from the annotation of a GenBank genome assembly. NCBI's taxonomy places the organism in Eukaryota, Metazoa, Arthropoda, Insecta, Lepidoptera, Gelechiidae.